AUGAACGCUGGCGGCGUGCCUCAUACAUGCAAGUCGAGCGAACAGACGAGGAGCUUGCUCCUCUAACGUUAGCGGCGGACGGGCGAGUAACACGUGGAUAACCUACCUAUAAGACUGGGAUAACUUCGGGAAACCGGAGCUAAUACCGGAUAAUAUAUUGAACCGCAUGGUUCAAUAGUGAAAGACGGUUUUGCUGUCACUUAUAGAUGGAUCCGCGCCGCAUUAGCUAGUUGGUAAGGUAACAGCUUACCAAGGCAACGAUGCGUAGCCGACCUGAGAGGGUGAUCGGCCACACUGGAACUGAGACACGGUCCAGACUCCUACGGGAGGCAGCAGUAGGGAAUCUUCCGCAAUGGGCGAAAGCCUGACGGAGCAACGCCGCGUGAGUGAUGAAGGUCUUCGGAUCGUAAAACUCUGUUAUUAGGGAAGAACAAAUGUGUAAGUAACUAUGCACGUCUUGACGGUACCUAAUCAGAAAGCCACGGCUAACUACGUG
Molecule: ribosomal RNA, 496 nt
Filed under: uncultured bacterium
Lineage: Bacteria
Description: partial 16S ribosomal RNA
Rfam family: Bacterial small subunit ribosomal RNA
Source: RNAcentral